GACGAACGCUGGCGGCGUGCUUAACACAUGCAAGUCGAACGGAAAGGCCCUGCUUUUGUGGGGUGCUCGAGUGGCGAACGGGUGAGUAACACGUGAGUAACCUGCCCUUGACUUUGGGAUAACUUCAGGAAACUGGGGCUAAUACCGUAUAGGAGCUCCUGCUGCAUGGUGGGGGUUGGAAAGUUUCGGCGGGUGGGGAUGGACGCGCGGCUGAUCGGCUUGCUGGUGGGGUAGUGGCUUACCAACGCUUUGACGGGUAGCCGGCCUGAGAGGGUGACCGGCCACAUUGGGACUGAGAGACGGCCCAGACUCCUACGGGAGGCAGUAGUGGGGAAUAUUGCACAAUGGGAGGAAGCCUGAUGCAGAAACGCCGCGUGCGGGAUGACGGCCUUCGGGUUGUAAACCGCUUUCGCCUGUGACGAAGCGUGAGUGACGGUAAUGGGUAAAGAAGCACCGGCUAACUACGUG
Molecule: ribosomal RNA, 468 nt
Filed under: uncultured bacterium
Lineage: Bacteria
Description: partial 16S ribosomal RNA
Rfam family: Bacterial small subunit ribosomal RNA
Source: RNAcentral